Long non-coding RNA from Macrobrachium nipponense, 265 nucleotides. RefSeq lists it as uncharacterized. NCBI's taxonomy places the organism in Eukaryota, Metazoa, Arthropoda, Malacostraca, Decapoda, Palaemonidae. The transcript has 3 exons. The record is from RefSeq and is a predicted model, not a curated record.
AGGAGUGUCAGCGAGUGCCAGUAUGGAGUGCAUGUAAGCUCUCGUUUGAGAUGGGAUGGUUAUCCCUGAAAACGACAUCUGUUUUGGUCGCAGUGUGAGUGGUCCUCCUAUGCUGGUUCAAAGCACAUCAAGAGAGUGAAAUCAUACCUUCGAAUUGGAACCCGUGUUAAUAAAGAAGCAAGACUUACCAAUACUUAAAGAAGGUAAUUUCACUCCAGGCUAACCUGAACAUCGCCAGGAAACUUGCUGUCAAACGAGGAACCAU